AGCGGCGGACGGGUGAGUAAUGCCUAGGAAAUUGCCCUGAUGUGGGGGAUAACCAUUGGAAACGAUGGCUAAUACCGCAUGAUGCCUACGGGCCAAAGAGGGGGACCUUCGGGCCUCUCGCGUCAGGAUAUGCCUAGGUGGGAUUAGCUAGUUGGUGAGGUAAGGGCUCACCAAGGCGACGAUCCCUAGCUGGUCUGAGAGGAUGAUCAGCCACACUGGAACUGAACACGGUCCAGACUCCUACGGGAGGCAGCAGUGGGGAAUAUUGCACAAUGGGCGCAAGCCUGAUGCAGCCUGCCGCGUGUAUGAAAAGGCCUUCGGGUUGUAAAGUACUUUCAGUCGUGAGGAAGGCGGCGUCGUUAAUAGCGGCGUUGUUUGACGUUAGCGACAGAAGAAGCACCGGCUAACUCCGUGCCAGCAGCCGCGGUAAUACGGAGGGUGCGAGCGUUAAUCGGAAUUACUGGGCGUAAAGCGCAUGCAGGUGGUUUGUU
Molecule: ribosomal RNA, 491 nt
Filed under: uncultured Vibrio sp.
Lineage: Bacteria; Pseudomonadati; Pseudomonadota; Gammaproteobacteria; Vibrionales; Vibrionaceae
Description: bacterial SSU rRNA
Rfam family: Bacterial small subunit ribosomal RNA
Source: RNAcentral